Molecule: ribosomal RNA, 468 nt
Filed under: uncultured bacterium
Lineage: Bacteria
Description: partial 16S ribosomal RNA
Rfam family: Bacterial small subunit ribosomal RNA
Source: RNAcentral
GAUGAACGCUGGCGGCGUGCUUAACACAUGCAAGUCGAACGGUGAAGGCGGAGCUUGCUCUGCUGGAUCAGUGGCGAACGGGUGAGUAACACGUGAGCAAUCUGCCCCUGACCGUGGGAUAAGCGCUGGAAACGGCGGCUAAUACUGGAUACGAGCUGCGGAGGCAUCUUCAGCAGCUGGAAAGAACGUUGGUUAAGGUUGGACAUGGGGCUUAUCAGCUUGUUGGUGAGGUAAUGGCUCACCAACGCGUCGACGGGUAGCCGGCCUGGGAGGGUGACCGGCCACACUCGGCCUGGGGAGGGGCCCAGACUGCUACGGGGGGCAGCGGUGGGGGAUUGUGCGCGAUGGGCGGAAGCCUGGUGCAGCGACGCCGCGUGGGGGAGGACGGCCUUCGGGGUGUAAACCUCUUUUAGCAGGAAAGAAGCGAAAGUGACGGUACCUGAAGAAAAAGCGACGGCUAACUACGUG